RNAcentral lists this ribosomal RNA (253 nucleotides) under uncultured bacterium. Its description in RNAcentral is "partial 16S ribosomal RNA". It matches the Rfam family "Bacterial small subunit ribosomal RNA", at positions 524 to 776 of the family's 1533-position model. The record is from RNAcentral.
UACGUAGGGUGCAAGCGUUGUCCGGAAUUACUGGGCGUAAAGCGCACGUAGGCGGUCUUUUAAGUCGGGGGUGAAAUCCUGGAGCUCAACUCCAGAACUGCCUUCGAUACUGGAAGACUCGAGUCCGGGAGAGGUGAGUGGAACUGCGAGUGUAGAGGUGAAAUUCGUAGAUAUUCGCAAGAACACCAGUGGCGAAGGCGGCUCACUGGCCCGGUACUGACGCUGAGGUGCGAAAGCGUGGGGAGCAAACAGG